UGGGGGAUAUUGCACAAUGGGCGAAAGCCUGAUGCAGCGACGCCGCGUGGGGGAUGAAGGCCUUCGGGUUGUAAACUUCUUUUGCUCUGAACAAGGCGCACCAUGGGGUGUGUUGAGUGUAGGGGUUGAUUAGCGCCGGCUAACUACGUGCCAGCAGCCGCGGUAAUACGUAGGGCGCGAGCGUUGUCCGGAAUUAUUGGGCGUAAAGGGCUUGUAGGUGGCUGGUUGCGUCUGUCGUGAAAGCUCAUGGCUUAACUGUGGGUUUGCGGUGGGUACGGGCUGGCUUGAGUGCAGUAGGGGAGGCUGGAAUUCCUGGUGUAGCGGUGGAAUGCGCAGAUAUCAGGAGGACUACCGGUGGCGAAGGCGGGUCUCUGGGCUGUUACUGACACUGAGGAGCGAAAGCAUGGGGAGCGAACAGG
Molecule: ribosomal RNA, 419 nt
Filed under: bacterium
Lineage: Bacteria
Description: partial 16S ribosomal RNA
Rfam family: Bacterial small subunit ribosomal RNA
Source: RNAcentral